RNAcentral lists this transfer RNA (83 nucleotides) under Bacteroidales bacterium. RNAcentral's name for it is "tRNA-Tyr". It matches the Rfam family "tRNA". Rfam says of the family: Transfer RNA (tRNA) molecules are approximately 80 nucleotides in length. Their secondary structure includes four short double-helical elements and three loops (D, anti-codon, and T loops). The record is from RNAcentral. Lineage: Bacteria; Pseudomonadati; Bacteroidota; Bacteroidia; Bacteroidales.
GGGGAGAUACCAAAGUGGCCAACUGGGGUAGACUGUAAAUCUACUGUCGCACGACUUCGGAGGUUCGAAUCCUCCUCUCCCCA